GAUUUCUGGUACGGCGCACUUGGCCCGCCCCGGUUACGGGGUUGUGUGCCGGUGUGCGCCUGCCAUCCUUCUAGUAAUUGCUACUUCUUCCCUUUACUGGGCUUGGAGUAGUGAUCUAGAUCAUUUACUUUGAAAAAAUUAGAGUGUUUAAAGCAGGCUUGUGCUAUGAAUACAUUAGCAUGGAAUAAUAAUUUAGGACUUUGGCCCUAUUUUGUUGGUUUCUAGGACUGAAGUAAUGAUUGAUAGGGAUAGUUGGGGGUGCUCGAAUUCAGCGGCCAGAGGUGAAAUUCUUGGAUUCGCUGAAGACGAACUCAUGCGAAAGCAUU
Molecule: ribosomal RNA, 326 nt
Filed under: Cercomonas sp.
Lineage: Eukaryota; Cercozoa; Cercomonadida; Cercomonadidae
Description: SSU rRNA
Rfam family: Eukaryotic small subunit ribosomal RNA (bases 65-326)
Source: RNAcentral